UGCGGAUGUUCAGCAGAAGGGAUGAUCGGCCCCGGUGAGAGACUCUUUUGUGCCCUCCGUCUGUUUCAGUUGCACGUUGGGGUGCGGUGCCGUCCGUUUCAGUCUUGACGUGUUUUGCUGGUGGGGUUCAAGUUGAGGAUAUGUGGCUGUGUGAGGGACACGUUGCUCAGCCUGUCACACACAUGCAGGUAGCAGCUUUAGGCAGCUGACACACAGAAAAGUUCUGCUGAAUAUUGCAUCUACUGGAUCUUCUCUCUUGAGUGCAGGGACGUCUGUGCCCAGAUCACUGGAGGUCCAGCCCGCGUCCAGCUGUUAAACACAAGGAUAGUUAAACACAAGUCAUGAGGCGACACACCCAUCAUUUCCAUGGCAGGGAAAGAAGAGAGCCUCUGUCUAGCACUGGCCCACAACAAGAGUUUAUGAAAAAGGAACCCUAAAGCACACGUUGUCACCACCGCAGACUGAUUCAGUCUACUGAACGGAGCCAGGGGGCGGACAGCCGCUGCUCAGCCCCUGUGGCACAUCCAGGAGCGGUGGCAAACAACGGGCGUGACCCCCCUGUGGCAUGGAGACGAGGAGCAUCCGCAGGUCUUCGAGGCUGGCCCUCAUCUCCAAGUCCCUAAUCUUGUGCAGCACCGUGCCCAGCGAUGAAAGCUCCGGCCUUGAGGAGAAACGUACCGGGUACCGGCUGCCCCGGCAGGGGAUGCCACACUCCUCUGAGUUCACGGCAAACCCGGAACCUCCCGAGUGGGGCCCCAAUCCCCAGGAUCCAGGGAACGCAAAGGGCCCCAUGAGGAAGACCUUCAACAUCAAGGACAGUAGCAUCUGGAAGAUGUGUGUAUCUGCGGGUGAAGAAGGCUCAGGAGGCCAAGAACGCCCUGUAAACAAGGAGACUCCUGCUGACCAGGGCAACGAUAAAGGGGCAGGACACAGGUAGAGAAAUGCCAGGUGUUUCCAUGGUGACAGCCAAAGCCAGCACAAAUGAGACCUAAGCCAUUAUGCCUCAGAACCGAGCCUCUUAGGACCAAUGAGUGUUGCCGAUUCAGUAGACACCUGAGCAUGGUUUACAACGCUUUUGCACCUUUACAUCUCUCCAUGAACAGUGACCAUAAAGACAAGCCCCUCCCACUGAUUCAACAGCUUGUCAACAAUCUCUCGGAUGCUGUACCGCCUGCAGGAGCAGCUGCUACCAUGGCCCGCAGGGAGGUACGUCAGACACUCCCGUGUCAUCCAUCUUUAUAAGUGCAAAUAUGAACAGG
This 1259-nucleotide long non-coding RNA is filed under the name Scleropages formosus (Asian bonytongue). RNAcentral describes it as "lncRNA (ENSSFOG00015030075.1)". Lineage: Eukaryota; Metazoa; Chordata; Actinopteri; Osteoglossiformes; Osteoglossidae. The record is from RNAcentral.